AUUGAACGCUGGCGGCAGGCCUAACACAUGCAAGUCGAACGGUAACAGGAAGCAGCUUGCUGCUUCGCUGACGAGUGGCGGACGGGUGAGUAAUGUCUGGGAAGCUGCCUGAUGGAGGGGGAUAACUACUGGAAACGGUAGCUAAUACCGCAUAAUGUCGCAAGCCCAAAGAGGGGGACCUUCGGGCCUCUUGCCAUCGGAUGUGCCCAGAUGGGAUUAGCUUGUUGGUGGGGUAACGGCUCACCAAGGCGACGAUCCCUAGCUGGUCUGAGAGGAUGACCAGCCACACUGGAACGGAGACACGGUCCAGACUCCUACGGGAGGCAGCAGUGGGGAAUAUUGCACAAUGGGCGCAAGCCUGAUGCAGCCAUGCCGCGUGUAUGAAGAAGGCCUUCGGGUUGUAAAGUACUUUCAGCGGGGAGGAAGGGAGUAAAGUUAAUACCUUUGCUCAUUGACGUUACCCGCAGAAGAAGCACCGGCUAACUCCGUG
Molecule: ribosomal RNA, 490 nt
Filed under: uncultured bacterium
Lineage: Bacteria
Description: partial 16S ribosomal RNA
Rfam family: Bacterial small subunit ribosomal RNA
Source: RNAcentral